This is a long non-coding RNA of Chelonia mydas (Green sea turtle), 1113 nucleotides long. RefSeq lists it as uncharacterized. NCBI's taxonomy places the organism in Eukaryota, Metazoa, Chordata, Testudines, Cheloniidae. The record is from RefSeq and is a predicted model, not a curated record. The transcript is spliced from 2 exons.
UGGACUGAUACGAACAUCCUUCUGGAAAAACACCAUGCCCCCCCUCAUCGUUUUCUACUAAGGCUCUCCUGGCCUGAGCAGCAGCCUAAAUGGUCCUCAGCUAGAGAAAACACUUCAGAAAAAUUGAAUUCUGUAUCUCCAGUCCACCAGCCUUGAGUCUCUGCAUAACUCCUAAGCUCAGGAUGCUCAACAUCAAUUUUUGUGGUUAAUGAAAGCUGGUUGCAAAUGCAUUUUACUCCCUCUAUGGAAAGAGCCACAAAUCACAAUAUACCAUUACUACAGUGGAGCUAGAAGUGGUUAGAGGAGCAAAAUAUUUGAUUAGCAAAUUAAGCCAUUGACCAAUCUACACAUUUCGUUGUGAUAGUCACCUAAUUACACACGCACAGGAUUUACUCAUCACUUCAAGUUUCAGGGCCUGAUUCUCCAAUGCAUUUUGUGUCAUGUUUAGAUACUUAUCCCUGCACCAUGUGAUUGCACAAUGCUACCGUAUCAGAAUGCUAUAAUUUUCAACCAUCUCUGCACAAUGGAAAAGAUUCUACAAGGUGCAAAGCAGUAGAGAAUCAGGCUCUUAGAUUUCCAGAAGCUAAAUUACGACACUUCACUUCCAAACAGGUUUUUGAAAGUAAUCUUGACCCUUUGCCCGAGACCACAUUAACUAGCUCAUCUAACAUGGUUACAAUCAACCCAAAGGAAUUGACACAAUAGUACUUCAGCCCAAAGUUGAUCUGUGUGGCAUUACUUGUUGUUUGAAGAAAAAGUUAAUCCUACUAUUCAACACAGCAUUAUACACAUUUGCUAAAUAACUUUCCAUCCCAGAAACUGUCACCUAAUUAUAACUGGAAAUUUUAAAUUUCUUGUUUGAAAAUGGGCAUCAUUUGAAAGACCAGCAGAAGAAGAGCUCAUGUGGAAUAACUCAUAAUCUGGUUUCCAAUCAAAUAGGAAUACUGAUUUAAAGAUUUUUUUUUAAUGUUCAAUAUUUAAAAUGCAAUAUCGAAUUAUAAAUCCUUCUGUAAAAGUGUAAUGUAUACUAACACCUAGUGUCUUUGUGAGCACAAGACUUGUUUUAAAACACAGUUCUCUAGAUGUUAAGACAAUAAUAUGGAUUGAAAAUAA